UAAUGAUUAGUUUGUUCCAUAAUAAUUUGACAAAUGAAACAUACUUUUAAGCAGAAUCUUGUCACUUACAUUAAAAUAAAGUAUAAAAUCCAAUGUGAAUAAAAUGCUGUACUACAAAAGAGUUCAGUGAUUUAACAUCUCCAUCUUUUGAAUCAAUAAUGGGCUUUAUUUAUUUUUCUUGAUUCUUUUUGAGAUAUACAACAUGGGCGCAGUUGACUUCAUGUUUUUGAAGAUUACCUAUAAGGUCCCUGUGCAAAAAUUAAAAAAAAAAAAACAUGAGGUCAUUUGCCGAAGUUAUUCCUAUUUUUGAAAGCAACAAAUACUAUGUCAUUACAGUAACUACUGAGCAUGUAUGUGUAUGACCUUGAAAGCAUGACCGGUCGCAGAAAAGAUUGAAGAAUAAGCAGAGAUGGGAUCUAGCUGCUUCAGCCUUUAGGCCAGUUUUGGGACCAUAAAAAGGGAUUCCCAAUUUUGAAAAAAAAAAAAAAAAAGACUGAGUAAGAGUUUCUUCAAAAAUGCUGCAUGGCUGGUAUCUUUGUCAGUUGUAUAUUAUACCUAUUUUCAAUGCAUGCAGCAUUAGGAUGAAGAAGAUGUGACAGAGUCGCUGGAGUUGCAUAAUUCAGACGCAAAAGAAAACAAUAAAUAAAGCCACUUCCAUAUAGCUGACCCACCAAAAUAUACAGAACAACUUUAUCAUUUAAAUCCAUGAGAUUUUACAUUAUUUCAUAUGUGCAUGCAUAUUAUAUACAUAUUUAUUCCAAUAGAUCUUCUAACAUUAGAGCUUCUACAAAUGAAACUCCUGAGAGAAAAAAUUGAUUGUCCAAUUGUCGGUUUAUAAUGUUGGGGAUAAAUUUCACCUGCAUUAACUAGUAGUAAAAGUUCUAAAAAAAGUCUGAAGGAAAAAUGAAAAAAAAAACUUACAAAAAUUAUUUCUUUUCUUGACCAUUGGGCAACAAUUAGGAGUUGCCAUUAGAAAACUAUUAUACUAAUACAAUAAGAGUUGUCACUAGAGGUGGGCAAAACUAAAACAAACUUGUAAAAUUACCGGCUCAGUUCAAUUUUUAAGGGUUCAAUUCAGUUUUUUUUGUUAAAAAAAUGAAUAUUCCAAUUCGAUAUAAAAAUAAAUACUUUUGAUUCAGUUUUUAGUUUAAAUUUUCAAAUCUAAGAACCGAAUUGAAAAACUAAAAAAAUAAUUUUUAAAUAAAAAAAAAUCGUGUGGCCUUGAGGGGUGGGUCGAAUUGAACGGGACCCAAAAAAUUCAGUUCGAUUCGGAGUUUUAUAACUAAAAAAGAAAAAUAUAUAUUAAUACUGAAACCUAACUGAAUGUAAAUUUCUGAUUUUUUGAAAUUCUCAAACCAAACCGAACUGAAAUUUUUUGAUUUAUUUCGAAACCAAACUAAUCUGAACUAGUGCCCACCCUUAGUUAUCACUAGGAAACUUUUAUGCUAAUAAAUUUUAUUACUCUGUAUACUCAUAUGUUAAAUUUAAAAAAUUAAGUUUUAUUUUAUGUACUCUUUAAAAUAUCAAAAAUGACCUUACUGAAACCACUUAAAUUGCUUUAUUCAAAACACUAAUUAAACUAUUUAACACACUAAAAAAAAAUAAUAAUGAUUUAGUAUAUACAUCACUAGAAUCAAAUUAUGUUGUAAAUAAAAUCUUUAACAUAAGUUUUAGUUAUUAGUUCUUGUUAUUAAAGAAUAUGUUCAAAACAGUUUUUACACCUCAAUUUUUUAACAUAAAAAUUGAAAAAAAAAAAAAAGGCCAUGUAGCCAAAAAAAAAAAAGACAAAAUAAGAAGAAGAAGAAGAAGUAGAAGAAGAGAAAGAAAAGAAGGAGACAACAACAAAAGAUACUUUUAAUUUUAUUUUUUUUUGAAAAUCAAAAGGAAAAAAUAUGUUCAAAAUAUUUUAAGUAUUGAUUUGGUCGUUAGUAAUAAAAUUUUAGGGUUUAUGGUAAGAGGAAUUAUAAAUUGAAUAGUGAGUGUGCUAUAUGAGUGUUCAAAAUAAUUAUAUUAUAUUAUUUUAUAGGAGAGAGUCCUUAAUAGUAAUUCAUAUAAUGGAUAUUUUUAUGAUAAAAUAUUUCAUUAAAAUAAUAGUGUUCAGAGUAAAUUUUAGAGUACAAAUAAUCUCAUCCUUAAUUAUAUGAUAUCUCCAAUAAAUAUUUUAGCAAUUUCAUCAAGCUACUUUAAGCAUCAUUAAAGCACAAUAAUCAUCUCAAUUUAUUCAGAUGAUUCAAAGAAGUUAUUCAAAUUGAAUCCAACAAGCACAUGAAGAAGCAAGCUACACAACUAAUUUACAGAGACACAUGUAUGUAUGUAUGUAUGUAUGUAUGUAUGUAUGUUGUAGGUAGAUAGGUAAGUAGGUAUAAAUUUGUUAAAAUAAUAUAUUGAUAUUUUGAAUAAUAUCUUUUAAAAAAUACAUUGUAAAAAUUCCUUUUAAAAAUUUAAAAUUUGAGUUUCUUAUUUUUAUUUUAUUUUAUUUUAAAAGAAUAUAUAUAAAUGAGUUUCUAAAUUCAAAAUAAAGAAAGAGUUUUCCAAUUUUUGCUUUGAUCUACCCAACCCAAGUUAUGGAUUGAAAAUGAGAAAAUGUAAAGAAGAAGGGGAAGUGGAUGAUAAAAUCCAAACAAGAAUGAGAGAGAACAAGGGGUGGGGCGGGGGUGGUAGCAAUUAAUGAGAGAAAGAAAAGAACAAAAUAAGAGCUAACAAAAGAUAGGGUUUCAAGUAAAAAGGCUGCUCGCUCUGACUAUCGACUUCCCCUUUUGUCUCUUCAGCUCUGUCUCUGUAAUCUGUAUCAGCCUCAGCCUCGGCCUCAGGCCUCAGCAACGUAUGGCCGCUUUCACCUUGCGCCCCCCCACCAAUCACCAUUAAUAUUUCUCUCUUAAUUUGCUUUCUUUUUCAUUUUUUUAUUUUUUUAUCUUUUUUUGGUUUUUGGCGUCUAUCACCAUCGGAAAGACUUUUGUGUGGUACACGGUCACAGCAACGGACAGAAGUACUCAGAAACAAACGUGGGUUUAGACAGAACGUAGGGACCACCAGUUAGCCCCUCAUCUAUGUGACACGUGGUGUUUUGGCCUUUUGAGGCCUUCGUAUCACUAGGUAAGAAUUUUGCGCAGCAUAUUGGUGCGACAAUUAGAUAAUUAUUGUCCAAAAAAAUUGUUAAGCAAGUAAGCCUUAAAUUUUUUUGAUGAGUUAAGUGAGAAUGCUUGCAGAGGAACUAAAGAGAAAGAGAAAAGAGAGCAAGUAAGCUAGGGAACAUUUGUAUUAUUCAUAAUAAAAAGUGUGUACAAG
Molecule: long non-coding RNA, 3285 nt
Filed under: Citrus maxima (pomelo)
Lineage: Eukaryota; Viridiplantae; Streptophyta; Magnoliopsida; Sapindales; Rutaceae
Description: long non-coding RNA (CMAX_LNC003240)
Source: RNAcentral